RNAcentral lists this ribosomal RNA (164 nucleotides) under uncultured eukaryote. Its description in RNAcentral is "partial 18S rRNA". It matches the Rfam family "Eukaryotic small subunit ribosomal RNA", at positions 1506 to 1670 of the family's 1831-position model. The record is from RNAcentral.
CCGCACGCGCGCUACACUGAUGCAUUCAACGAGUUUUWCCUUGGCCGAGAGGCCUGGGCAAUCUUUUGAACGUGCAUCGUGAUGAGGGAUGAGAUGAUUGCAAUUAUUAAUCUUGAACGAGGAAUUCCUAGUAAACGCAGAUCAUCAAUCUGCAUUGAUUACGU